RNAcentral lists this long non-coding RNA (599 nucleotides) under Gigantopelta aegis. Its description in RNAcentral is "uncharacterized LOC121382864". Lineage: Eukaryota; Metazoa; Mollusca; Gastropoda; Neomphalida; Peltospiridae. The record is from RNAcentral.
CUUUUCGUCACUACAAUAUGUAUUAUGUUUGUAUCGCAGUCAAUGAUGGUCAGGCGAACCGAUUUCACAUUUGCGCGGCAUUAUGGACAACACGUCGUAGGUUUUGGAGGAGCCCGAGACAGUUACACCAAGCACUACAAUCAGAAGAGAAACAAAUGUGGCCCAGUAGGCAAUUUUCACAUCGAUAUGCGCGGAACAGGACUGAAGGUUGACGACGAUCUUGCUUGGAUGCCUGAAGGACGUUAUUCGUAUGGAGAAUGGACCAGAGACCAUGGAAAUGCCACCGUGGACCUCCUGGCAGGCGGCUAUGCGGGAGGACUGAAACCCAUCGAGCCCAUGCUUCUCAUGCAUAAUCCAAACGAUAUAUACUAAAGUUUUAAACAUCGAAGUCGGACAGUCGACAAAUGGCUUCCAGGUACAAGAUAAGCUCGUCAUCUGUUAACCAUCUACAAAUAUAUGAAACGUGAAUCACACUUGAGAUUCAUACACCAGGCGCCGACCCAAGGAAGGCGCCGAGGGGCGUAUCCCCCAUCCCUUUGUUUUGCCGACGUCAAAAUAUAACAAUAAUAGCCUGACCAAACACCUCUUACCUCUUACCC